AAAUGAUAAGAUUUUGAUUGUAGACUUUAGGGGUUUCGGUGAUGGACGAACGCUGAAUACAAAAAGUAUUUCAUGAGACAAUAUACACUGAUUUUAACAACAUUCAAUAAACUAAAACAAUAAAUGUGAACCCAAUUAAAAAAGAAAAGUUAGAAUUUUUCUGAUGAGAUUGGUUUAAGAGGAUUGAGAAAGAACCCAACAGCCAAAAUUCGAUGUCAGAAGUUGAAUUUGUUUAGGAAGGCUUUUCGUUUGUGGUUGAUGUUGGGUUUUGUUCGUCCGGAUCUUUGGGUGCGAUGAUCGUGAGGCAAUAUACACUGUGAUUUUGAGAUUUGAGAUUUUGCAUUCAGGAGUUUGGGCUUUGCUUCUCUACUUCUUCUGCGUCCUCUACCACCCAAGAUACAAUAAUUGAUUUGGGGAAAUGGGAACCCUUACGAAAGAAGAAAGUAGUUAUGCGAGUUGGCUAUGUUGGUACCGAUUACAAAGGCUUACAAAUGCAACGAGACGAGCAUUCAUUAUCCAGUUUUCCCCAUGAUUGGAGGCGCAAGUAUUAUAUUAACAUUCGUCUUGGACUGGUUCAGGGCGGCUAAGGAUUUCACUUACUACCUUCAUGACUAGAAAGAAGAGGGUCUAUUCUGUCAAAGUAUGGGAAUUGAAUUAUGAUAAUAACAAUGGUGAUGAUGGGAAGACCAGCUCAUGGAGUUUGGUGCAUGAGUUUGAGAAGAGGGGAAUUGGUUUUAAGUCUAAGUAUGUGGUUGUGAUGGCUUUCCAUCCCACCAAUGGUGAUGUUUUGUUCAUUCUAUUUGACAAUAUUCAUGUUUACCAAUAUGAUAUUAGGGAAGACAAGAUGGAAAAGGUUUAUCAGUUUCUAGAUGAUCCUGGCUAUCAUGCUUUUGGAAUGCGCCUACAACACUUCCCUAUUGUCUAUCCAUUUUGGCCAACUAAAAUUCCUGUCCUCACUUCCUCUCCCAUUGUCUCAGCUCUUGAUGUUUGAAACUUGUCUGUUUUUUUCAAUUAUUUGUGAUAUAUUUAUUUUUGUUCUAAUAACUUAAUUAUGAUACUGUUAGUAUACAUGAAUGUAUGUUUUAUGGUCCGUUUAAUUUAAA
Molecule: RNA transcript, 1103 nt
Organism: Cannabis sativa
Lineage: Eukaryota; Viridiplantae; Streptophyta; Magnoliopsida; Rosales; Cannabaceae
Exons: 5
Source: RefSeq, a predicted model, not a curated record